Paramuricea clavata is the source of this 282-nucleotide non-coding RNA. The record is from the annotation of a GenBank genome assembly. Lineage: Eukaryota; Metazoa; Cnidaria; Anthozoa; Malacalcyonacea; Plexauridae.
GUAUAUUUUUUAGUGGCUACGUGGCUACGCGGCUACGCAGUGAGUUUUUAUAAAAGAACGAGACAUUGAUAUGAUGACGUAAUUACUAAAGUAUAAUACUGUAGGUAUAUUUUUUAGUGGCUACGUGGCUACGCGGCUACGCAGUGAGUUUUUAUAAAAGAACGAGAAAUUGGUAUAAUGACGUAAUUAUUAAAGUAUACUGUAGGUAUAUUUUUUAGUGGCUACGUGGCUACGCGGCUACGCAGUGAGUUUUUGAAAGAACGAGAAAUUGGUAUAAUGACG